GAUGAAGAACGUAGCGAAAUGCGAUACUUGGUGUGAAUUGCAGAAUCCCGUGAACCAUCGAGUCUUUGAACGCAAGUUGCGCCCGAAGCCAUCAGGUUGAGGGCACGUCUGCCUGGGCGUCACAUAUCGUUGCCCAAUGCCUAUUGCAGUGCAAUAGGAAUUUCUAGGGCGAAUGAUGGCUUCCCGUGAGCGUUGUUGCCUCGCGGUUGGUUGAAAAUCGAGUCCUUGGUAGGGUGUGCCAUGGUAGAUGGUGGUCGAGUUAGAACGAUACCGAUCAUGUGCAUGCUCCCCAAAAUAUGGCCUCUAUGACCCACACGCGUCUUUUGACGCUCAUGACGAGACCUCAGGUCAGGCGGGGCUACCCGCUGAAUUUAAGCAUAUCAAUAUGCGGAGGA
This 395-nucleotide unclassified non-coding RNA is filed under the name soil metagenome. Its description in RNAcentral is "partial contains 5.8S ribosomal RNA, internal transcribed spacer 2, and large subunit ribosomal RNA". The stretch from base 1 to 122 matches the Rfam family "5.8S ribosomal RNA", at positions 35 to 154 of the family's 154-position model. The record is from RNAcentral.